RNAcentral lists this ribosomal RNA (1372 nucleotides) under uncultured bacterium. RNAcentral describes it as "bacterial SSU rRNA". It matches the Rfam family "Bacterial small subunit ribosomal RNA", at positions 28 to 1381 of the family's 1533-position model. The record is from RNAcentral.
GAUGAACGCUGGCGGCGUGCCUAAUACAUGCAAGUCGAGCGAACGGACGAGAAGCUUGCUUCUCUGAUGUUAGCGGCGGACGGGUGAGUAACACGUGGAUAACCUACCUAUAAGACUGGGAUAACUUCGGGAAACCGGAGCUAAUACCGGAUAAUAUUUUGAACCGCAUGGUUCAAAAGUGAAAGACGGUCUUGCUGUCACUUAUAGAUGGAUCCGCGCUGCAUUAGCUAGCUGGUAAGGUAACGGCUUACCAAGGCAACGAUGCAUAGCCGACCUGAGAGGGUGAUCGGCCACACUGGAACUGAGACACGGUCCAGACUCCUACGGGAGGCAGCAGUAGGGAAUCUUCCGCAAUGGGCGAAAGCCUGACGGAGCAACGCCGCGUGAGUGAUGAAGGUCUUCGGAUCGUAAAACUCUGUUAUUAGGGAAGAACAUAUGUGUAAGUAACUGUGCACAUCUUGACGGUACCUAAUCAGAAAGCCACGGCUAACUACGUGCCAGCAGCCGCGGUAAUACGUAGGUGGCAAGCGUUAUCCGGAAUUAUUGGGCGUAAAGCGCGCGUAGGCGGUUUUUUAAGUCUGAUGUGAAAGCCCACGGCUCAACCGUGGAGGGUCAUUGGAAACUGGAAAACUUGAGUGCAGAAGAGGAAAGUGGAAUUCCAUGUGUAGCGGUGAAAUGCGCAGAGAUAUGGAGGAACACCAGUGGCGAAGGCGACUUUCUGGUCUGUAACUGACGCUGAUGUGCGAAAGCGUGGGGAUCAAACAGGAUUAGAUACCCUGGUAGUCCACGCCGUAAACGAUGAGUGCUAAGUGUUAGGGGGUUUCCGCCCCUUAGUGCUGCAGCUAACGCAUUAAGCACUCCGCCUGGGGAGUACGACCGCAAGGUUGAAACUCAAAGGAAUUGACGGGGACCCGCACAAGCGGUGGAGCAUGUGGUUUAAUUCGAAGCAACGCGAAGAACCUUACCAAAUCUUGACAUCCUUUGACAACUCUAGAGAUAGAGCUUUCCCCUUCGGGGGACAAAGUGACAGGUGGUGCAUGGUUGUCGUCAGCUCGUGUCGUGAGAUGUUGGGUUAAGUCCCGCAACGAGCGCAACCCUUAAGCUUAGUUGCCAUCAUUAAGUUGGGCACUCUAAGUUGACUGCCGGUGACAAACCGGAGGAAGGUGGGGAUGACGUCAAAUCAUCAUGCCCCUUAUGAUUUGGGCUACACACGUGCUACAAUGGACAAUACAAAGGGCAGCGAAACCGCGAGGUCAAGCAAAUCCCAUAAAGUUGUUCUCAGUUCGGAUUGUAGUCUGCAACUCGACUACAUGAAGCUGGAAUCGCUAGUAAUCGUAGAUCAGCAUGCUACGGUGAAUACGUUCCCGGGUCU